CCUACGGGUGGCAGCAGUGGGGAAUAUUGCACAAUGGGGGAAACCCUGAUGCAGCGACGCCGCGUGAGUGAAGAAGGAAUUCGGUAUGUAAAGCUCUAUCAGCAGGGAAGAAAAUGACGGUACCUGAGUAAGAAGCCCAGGCUAACUCCGUGCCAGCAGCCGCGGUAAUACGAAGGGGGCAAGCGUUCUCCGGAUUUACUGGGUGUAAAGGGAGCGUAGACGGCAGUGCAAGUCUGGAGUGAAAGGCGGGGGCUCAACCCCCGGACUGCUCUGGAAACUGUACGGCUGGAGUGCAGGAGAGGUAAGUGGAAUUCCUAGUGUAGCGGUGAAAUGCGUAGAUAUUAGGAGGAACACCAGUGGCGAAGGCGACUUACUGGACUGUAACUGACGUUGAGGCUCGAAAGCGUGGGGAGCAAACAGGAUUAGAUACCCCAGUAGUC
Molecule: ribosomal RNA, 440 nt
Filed under: uncultured bacterium
Lineage: Bacteria
Description: partial 16S ribosomal RNA
Rfam family: Bacterial small subunit ribosomal RNA
Source: RNAcentral